GACGAACGCUGGCGGCGUGCUUAACACAUGCAAGUCGAACGGUGAAGCGCCUUCCUUUUUGGUGGGUGUGGAUGAGUGGCGAACGGGUGAGUAACACGUGAGUAACCUGCCCCCUUCUUCUGGAUAACCGCAUGAAAGUGUGGCUAAUACGGGAUAUUCUGGGUCUGUCGCAUGAUGGGUCUGGGAAAGAUAUUGUUUCGGUGGGGGAUGGGCUCGCGGCCUAUCAGCUGGUGGGUGGGGUGAUGGCCUACCAAGGCGGUGACGGGUAGCCGGCCUGGGAGGGUGGCCGGUCACACUGUGACUGAGACACGGCCCAGACUCCUACGGGAGGCGGCGGUGGGGAUUAUUGCUCAAUGGGCGCAAGCCUGAGGCAUCGACGCCGCGUGAGGGAUGGAGGCCUUCGGGUUGUGAACCUCUUUCGCCAGUGAAGCAGGCCUGCCUCUUUUGUGGGUGGGUUGACGGUAGCUGGAUAAGAAGCGCCGGCUAACUACGG
RNAcentral lists this ribosomal RNA (493 nucleotides) under uncultured bacterium. Its description in RNAcentral is "partial 16S ribosomal RNA". It matches the Rfam family "Bacterial small subunit ribosomal RNA", at positions 28 to 506 of the family's 1533-position model. The record is from RNAcentral.